Molecule: non-coding RNA, 29 nt
Filed under: Mus musculus (house mouse)
Lineage: Eukaryota; Metazoa; Chordata; Mammalia; Rodentia; Muridae
Source: RNAcentral
UGAAAUGGCAAAUGGAACAGUUCUAAUGU